UUUUAUGGAGAGUUUGAUCCUGGCUCAGGAUGAACGCUGGCGGCGUGCCUAAUACAUGCAAGUCGAGCGAACGGAUGAGAAGCUUGCUUCUCUGAUGUUAGCGGCGGACGGGUGAGUAACACGUGGAUAACCUACCUAUAAGACUGGGAUAACUUCGGGAAACCGGAGCUAAUACCGGAUAAUAUUUUGAACCGCAUGGUUCAAAAGUGAAAGACGGUCUUGCUGUCACUUAUAGAUGGAUCCGCGCUGCAUUAGCUAGUUGGUAAGGUAACGGCUUACCAAGGCAACGAUGCAUAGCCGACCUGAGAGGGUGAUCGGCCACACUGGAACUGAGACACGGUCCAGACUCCUACGGGAGGCAGCAGUAGGGAAUCUUCCGCAAUGGGCGAAAGCCUGACGGAGCAACGC
RNAcentral lists this ribosomal RNA (408 nucleotides) under Staphylococcus aureus. Its description in RNAcentral is "bacterial SSU rRNA". It matches the Rfam family "Bacterial small subunit ribosomal RNA", at positions 1 to 397 of the family's 1533-position model. Lineage: Bacteria; Bacillati; Bacillota; Bacilli; Caryophanales; Staphylococcaceae. The record is from RNAcentral.